RNAcentral lists this ribosomal RNA (506 nucleotides) under uncultured bacterium. Its description in RNAcentral is "partial 16S ribosomal RNA". It matches the Rfam family "Bacterial small subunit ribosomal RNA", at positions 30 to 523 of the family's 1533-position model. The record is from RNAcentral.
AUUGAACGCUGGCGGCAGGCCUAACACAUGCAGGUCGAACGGUAACAGGAAACAGCUUGCUGUUUCGCUGACGAGUGGCGGACGGGUGAGUAAUGUCUGGGAAACUGCCUGAUGGAGGGGGAUAACUACUGGAAACGGUAGCUAAUACCGCAUAACGUCGCAAGACCAAAGAGGGGGACCCUCGGGCCUCUUGCCAUCGGAUGUGCCCAGAUGGGAUUAGCUAGUAGGUGGGGUAACGGCUCACCUAGGCGACGAUCCCUAGCUGGUCUGAGAGGAUGACCAGCCACACUGGAACUGAGACACGGUCCAGACUCCUACGGGAGGCAGCAGUGGGGAAUAUUGCACAAUGGGCGCAAGCCUGAUGCAGCCAUGCCGCGUGUAUGAAGAAGGCCUUCGGGUUGUAAAGUACCUUCAGCGGGGAGGAAGGGAGUAAAGUUAAUACCUUUGCUCAUUGACGUUACCCGCAGAAGAAGCACCGGCUAACUCCGUGCCAGCCGCCGCGGUAA